Molecule: ribosomal RNA, 292 nt
Filed under: uncultured Bacteroidota bacterium
Lineage: Bacteria; Pseudomonadati; Bacteroidota
Description: uncultured Bacteroidetes bacterium partial 16S ribosomal RNA
Source: RNAcentral
GGACUACCAGGGUUUCUAAUCCUGUUUGAUCCCCACGCUUUCGUGCAUCAGUGUCAAUAUAUGUUUAGCCAGCUGCCUUCGCAAUCGGUGUUCUAUGUCAUAUCUAUGCAUUUCACCGCUACAUGACAUAUUCCGCUAACCUCAACAAUAUUCAAGAAGCAUAGUAUCAAUGGCAGUUCCCAAGUUAAGCUCGGGGAUUUCACCACUGACUUACACUCCCACCUACGCACCCUUUAAACCCAGUGAAUCCGGAUAACGCUUGCACCCUCCGUAUUACCGCGGCUGCUGGCAC